Molecule: ribosomal RNA, 253 nt
Filed under: uncultured bacterium
Lineage: Bacteria
Description: partial 16S ribosomal RNA
Rfam family: Bacterial small subunit ribosomal RNA
Source: RNAcentral
UACAGAGGUCUCAAGCGUUGUUCGGAUUCAUUGGGCGUAAAGGGUGCGUAGGUGGUGUGGUAAGUCGGGUGUGAAAUUUCGGAGCUUAACUCCGAAACUGCAUUCGAUACUGCCGUGCUUGAGGACUGGAGAGGAGACUGGAAUUUACGGUGUAGCAGUGAAAUGCGUAGAGAUCGUAAGGAAGACCAGUGGCGAAGGCGGGUCUCUGGACAGUUCCUGACACUGAGGCACGAAGGCCAGGGGAGCAAACGGG